GGAUCUCAUAUAACACAGUUUCACACAUCAUACUGUUUUUCAGGAACCUGUCUAUCGUGUUAUAAGAAGGAUACUUGUAUACUUACUUUUAUUAAAAGAAAUAUUUGCAUACUCAUAUAUUUAAUACUUUGAAAAAUGAAGAGCAAAGUGAGAAAAUAUAGGAAAAUAUGAAGAAAGCAAAGCAGAGAAGUAUGGUAGGAUACUAGUGGAAAGGAGAUGAUACUCUUUAGUUACAUAUUAUGACAGAUGGUAGGUGAAUUCUGUCUCCACUCAGAGAAAUGCAAUAGUAUUUUGCUUAUUGAAAGAGAUAGAGAUUCAUCAGAUUCAUUCUUCAUUCAUCAGAUUAACUCUGAUGAAUGAAGAAUGAAGUUAGAAGAGAAUAGGCAAGCAUGGAGAAAGAGAAAAAGAAUGCCAGUAAAAAUAUAUCAAGAUUGCUAGUAGAAAAGAGAGCUCCUCCUUUAAUCACCUCUUUUGACAUAAAGUGAGGCAAUGAAUGACUUAUCUCCUAUCCCCAGGAAAAUGCAAUAGUUACUGUAAUUAUCAUGUGGUGUCCAGAUUCAGUUUCUUCAUACCCUUCAUUAUUGUUUUUCCCAGCAUGAAGAGGUAGAUUCAGAUAACAGUAUCAAGGAUGGAUUGGUCUGGUAUAUAUAAUGUUUAAAAACCUCUACUGGUGUACUGGUCUACUGGAAUAAGACAUACUCACAUAAACCUCUGUUCAGGAGUUUGUGUGAAUAUGUCUUAUUCUUAUUUUUUUGACAGUACCACUCUUUUAAGUGGAAAUCUAUGAUAUUUCUGUAAGUGUUAAAAUCAGUCAUGAUAAAUAAUAUGUUAAUAAAUAUAUUUAUAUUCUAUCAGAUAAUCACAUUGUAUUAAAAACACUUGAGAAUGCCACUGUACUUCCAAACUUGUGUGGGAUUGCCGUCAUCUAAUUGUGGACUGGCUAUCAGGAACAGGCUCAGCUUGUUUGGAUGCCAGGGCACAAAGGGAUUGAUGUCAAUGAGGUGGCAAAUGAGUUGGCCAAGGAAAAAUCUCUUAUCCCUUUUAUUGGAUCUAAGCUUAUCCUGGGCAUUAGAGCUGAUUGUCAGGGAAUGGUUAGCAGCUCAGCAUCUCUCCAUUGGAAAUCUAACUAGUAAAUGAUGUUAAGAAGUUGAAAUUUUUCACAUUUUGUGCAAAUGUAUGAUCUUUUCAGGGUUAACAUAUGAUUUUAUAAGUUUG
RNAcentral lists this long non-coding RNA (1215 nucleotides) under Androctonus crassicauda. The record is from RNAcentral. Lineage: Eukaryota; Metazoa; Arthropoda; Arachnida; Scorpiones; Buthidae.